This 344-nucleotide transfer-messenger RNA is filed under the name bovine gut metagenome. It matches the Rfam family "transfer-messenger RNA". Rfam says of the family: Bacterial tmRNA, also known as 10Sa RNA or SsrA, is named for its dual tRNA and mRNA-like properties. Its role is to liberate the mRNA from a stalled ribosome. The record is from RNAcentral.
GGGGCUGUACCGGUUUCGACGGGGGUCCGGAGACUUACGAAGCCAUCCGUGGACCGUGGCCACGCAAAAAAACGGAAACUAAACUAAACGCAAACGAUAAGUUAGCGCUCGCUGCCUGACGGCAGCUGUCGGCCUUGAGCUGCUCACCACUUAAGCAACCGGCAUCAUGAACGGUGAGGAACUUCACUGCCUAAGCUUUGCGGCGGAGGAAGACUUUAUGAAGCUACUGAACGCGUAAGCCUGUCUUUGGGCGUUCGCGGGAGGGAAUGUCAAAACAAAGACUGUGAUGGGAGAAACGGAAGAGGAAGGGCUUUCGGACAGGGGUUCGACUCCCCUCAGCUCCA